UCUAAGUCACUUACAGGUUUGUCUGCGGGUGACCUGAGAGGAGGACCUUACUGCCUGCUCUAGGCAGGUUUCAGACGCUUGGAGCAAAACCUCAGGCUUUCACCAGACUUCCUGUGUUGUUUCCAGUCUGCGAUUCUGCCUCACUUCAGUAGCCAUUAAGUGGUGUGACAGGGAUAUAGUUUGCUCAACAUUGGUCACAUCGGACAGACUGCUUGGCCUCUUCUUUCCAAGAGAAGCUAAAAGUAAAGGGCAUGACCCAAAUACCCUGUGCACGGAAGGAACAUAUACUGUGUUCAGUUUUGCUUCUGUCGCACUCUGGUGGAAUGUGUGCAUGACAGAGAUGGUGAAAUCAGACGUGUCUGUCUAUCCGUCAUGUCCUCUCUCGCUCUGUGUCCCAGCCUCCCUUCUCUUCGUUUUGCCAAACUGUGAUAAAUUUAGAAAGGAAGCCAUGCUACAAUGAUAACUACACCAGAAGGAGCCAAUCUUACCCACGGCUGCUGCAGGUCUUCAUGAAGGUUUUCACUGAGACCCCAGAUUUUCUGUGUGUGCUAACACACCUAGCAGAACCUGAAUAUUCAUUUUCUGUAGACCCGGUUCCUGUGUAAUCCAUACUCUGCUUUUUCUGCCCACCGCAGAGACUAGCAGCUGGAGCCCGGAUGGAUGUGCUAUACUCAGAAGCCUGUGGCUGACAAAAAUGUUUACGUAUGUUGUCUAGCUUUUUAAUAAACUUUUUAAAAACAG
Molecule: long non-coding RNA, 741 nt
Filed under: Rattus norvegicus (Norway rat)
Lineage: Eukaryota; Metazoa; Chordata; Mammalia; Rodentia; Muridae
Description: long non-coding RNA NONRATT014415
Source: RNAcentral